This is a non-coding RNA of Merluccius polli (Benguela hake), 70 nucleotides long. Lineage: Eukaryota; Metazoa; Chordata; Actinopteri; Gadiformes; Merlucciidae. The record is from the annotation of a GenBank genome assembly.
GCCACCAUGGUGAGGGGUUCGAGUCCCACUGAUGGCCACCAUGGUGAGGGUUCGAGUCCCACUGGUGGCC